UACGUAGGGACCGAGCGUUGUCCGGAAUCAUUGGGCGUAAAGAGCGUGUAGGCGGCCUUUUAAGUCCUGCGUGAAAUCCUGCGGCUCAACCGCAGACGGUCGUGGGAAACUGGAAGGCUAGAGUGCGGGAGAGGAGAGUGGAAUUCCCGGUGUAGCGGUGAAAUGCGCAGAUAUCGGGAAGAACACCCGUGGCGAAGGCGGCUCUCUGGAACGCAACUGACGCUGAGACGCGAAAGCGUGGGGAGCAACAGG
RNAcentral lists this ribosomal RNA (252 nucleotides) under uncultured bacterium. RNAcentral's name for it is "partial 16S ribosomal RNA". It matches the Rfam family "Bacterial small subunit ribosomal RNA", at positions 524 to 775 of the family's 1533-position model. The record is from RNAcentral.